RNAcentral lists this transfer RNA (59 nucleotides) under Caprella penantis. RNAcentral's name for it is "tRNA-Tyr". The record is from RNAcentral. Lineage: Eukaryota; Metazoa; Arthropoda; Malacostraca; Amphipoda; Caprellidae.
GGUUAAAAGGUGUCAACACGUCAAGUUGUAAACUUGAAGUAACUUUUUAGUUUUAACCA